RNAcentral lists this ribosomal RNA (301 nucleotides) under uncultured bacterium. RNAcentral describes it as "partial 16S ribosomal RNA". It matches the Rfam family "Bacterial small subunit ribosomal RNA", at positions 509 to 807 of the family's 1533-position model. The record is from RNAcentral.
CAGUAGCCGCGGUAAAACGAAGGGGGCUAGCGUUGUUCGGAAUCACUGGGCGUAAAGGGUGCGCAGGCUGGUUCUUAAGUCAGGGGUGAAAUCCCGAGGCUCAACCUCGGAACGGCCUUUGAUACUGGUGAUCUUGAGUCCGGAAGAGGUGAGUGGAACUGCGAGUGUAGAGGUGAAAUUCGUAGAUAUUCGCAAGAACACCGGUGGCGAAGGCGGCUCACUGGUCCGGAACUGACGCUGAGGCACGACAGCGUGGGGAGCAAACAGGAUUAGAUACCCGGGUAGUCCCUGUCUCUUAUAC